This 4332-nucleotide long non-coding RNA is filed under the name Homo sapiens (human). Its description in RNAcentral is "HSALNT0355573". Lineage: Eukaryota; Metazoa; Chordata; Mammalia; Primates; Hominidae. The record is from RNAcentral.
CGCUCAGGCCUGCGCCGGCGCCAUCCCUCAUCUACGCAAAGCGUGCGACGCUCAGGCCUGUGCCUGCGUCAUCCCUCAUCUGCCUAAAGCCCUGCGCGCAGGCCUGUGCUUGCGCCAUCCCUCAUCUGCAUAAAGCGUAGGGCGCGCAGGCCAGUGUGUUGGAAAACAACGCUUUGAUGUUGUCUCCUGGAUUUUCACAGCCUCCCUCUCACAGGAGAACAGGGGUGGACCCCGGCCUCGAGCACAUCUGAGCUCUCUCUCUCCUGCCUGUGCUCCUGUUGAAGACAUUCAGCCUCCGACUGCCCUCGGGAGGAUGGAGAUGCCCAGGUGCCGAGGCCAGAGCCCAUGCGCAAAGCGAGGGCUGAGACCACGGAGGCCCCUUGUCUCCUCCAGCGGGUUCCUGAAGCCACGUCCCUGCUUGUGGAGGAAGAAAGCCGAACUGCAGCUCAGGGAGAGGUGGGCUUGCUGGCCUCGCUGGCGGCAUCCGAAUGCCUGGAGCCUCAUGGUGGGUUCUGCUAUUGCUGCCAGCAGCUGGAUGUUUCGAAAUUCGCCCGCUUUGGAAUGAUACAGUGAGACCUUGGCGGCCGCGCUGCCUGAGACGAUGCUCUUACGUCUGCAGGGGAGGUUUCAAGGCCUGCUGGAGUCAGCGGCUGCCUUGCCGCCCUGGGAGGGGCUGUGGCAGGUGAAAAAGAAGGAGUCAGCUGUCAACCUGCAAGUCAACAGCGGCCUCUCCAUACAGGGGAUCUUCCAUUCCUGCCUUUGAGCUUGGGGGCCUGCACACGUCUGUGGCUGUGACCUUCACAAAUGAUCCUCAAGGUACUGCCCCCUGAGACAGGAAGGCUAAGAGGCUGCAGCCGAGUGAUUUUCCCUCCCCCCAGGUCAGAUGUGCUGGUGAAGGCCUUGCCCUUGCAGAGUGGGUCUGUAGGGAGAAAGCGCUAGCUGAAUCCACAGUCACCUUCCCUCCCCUCACCACACAGGAGGGGGUCCUUCUCCCGUCUUCACCAUAGGAACUUGGUGGUGCUCCUGGAAAGAGAACCCAUGAAACUGAGGCAGCCAGCAGACCAGACAUCUGGGAGCCCUCCGUCCGCAGCCAGCCCCAGCCUCUGUCAAUGCCUCCAUGGCCCCAUGUGGGGUCCCGAGCCAUUUCUGGCUGCAGCAGCUGCUCUUCCGGAAGCCAUCAUUCUCUGUAUCUGCCUGUUUCUCCGGUUUUGGGUCACCAGUUUGCCCUGUGACCACAACUCUCUGUUGUGAUCUAAGAAAAAUCACUGUUUUCUGUUUUUUGCCUUUUUAUGGUGAGGGAGAGAGAAACGACUUCCAAGCUCUUUCACAUGUUGGAAUGGAAACCAGAGGUCUCUAGAAUGGUCACACUGGGAAAGGUAUGGCAGGCUCUCAAAGUUCAAAAUCAGCAUUUACAGGAAUUCGCCCAGGAGAAUGAAAACAUGUCACCACAGAGACUUGCACACAAGUGUUCAUACCAGCUUUAUUUGAAAUAGCCAAAAACUGGAAACAAUCUAAAUGUCCAUCGGCAGGUAAACAGAUGAAUGUGGUUUAUCCACACGACAAAAUCCUACUCACAAUGAGAAGAAAUAGAUUGGGAUAUGCAAUAAAAUUAAUCUUUCAAAAUAAUUUUUCUAAGUGAAAGAAACCAAAAAAUACAUACUGUAUAACUGCAUUUAUACAAAAUUAUAGAAAAUGCAAAUUAAUCUCUAGUGACAGAAGGUAGACCAGUGCUUCCCCAAGGGUGGAGUGGGGGUGAGGAGGGGCAGUGCAGGGAACACGGAAGGGCCCGGGUGACUUCCUUGGGGGAUUGUGCAUGAUUUCGAUUGUGGGGAUGAUUUCAUGGUAAAUGCCUGUCAAAGGAAAUCACGUUUUAUACCUUAAAUAUGUCUGGUGUGUUGUCUGUUACACCAGAAUACCAGAACAAAGCUGUUUCAAAAGAGAGGAAAACUAAAAUUAGCUCCUUCAGACAGGGAGUGGUCAGAGAACAUAUACAAUUAAUUUUAUUACUGAAAAAGAAAGAAAAUAACGUUUAUCAGUAGAACAUUUUUGUAUUAUGGAGCUAGAAAACUCCAUAAUACUUCAGGAGCUAGAAAACUUUUGUAAUGCAUAUGCAUUAUAGAAAAUGAUUAUAUGUUUAGCCAAUAUUCUAGAACUUAUCCACCUAUGCAAUGAAAUGCUGUUUUCCCAAAACACAGACUGAAAAUAAAAAUUUUUAUUCCAAUAUGUGGCCAUUGCUCAAUAACCAUUUUUGGACUGUCUCCUGGAUUUGAAAUGAUUUUCAGUCCCAGUUUAUGAGCAACAUUAGAAAACUACUUUUAUUGUUUUAUGAUCACACCUGGCAAAUGAAAUCCUUAUUACAUUUCCUACUUUAAAGCUGGGAUUUCUAAAAUGUAUUUGAAAGCAGCCCAGUUUUGACACAGUGUAACACACUGCCUUUCAACAACUUCCUCAGUGACCAUUUUCUCAAGGACAUUAUCUUGGAGCAAAAUUGGCUUUGUGUUUCCUCCUAUGAAAUGUGCACACUGCCUGAAUAUCAGAUAGCUUAGAAUAAUAAAACUACAUGUUUAUAAAUGGAAAAAGUACUAAUAUGUGAAGUGAAUAAAAUAUGGCUCUUCAAUGAUGAGUUUAAAACUGAUGCUAUCAAAAAAUAUUGGUAUAAAUCCCCCAUCUUAUCAGCACUCACUUUAUCCAUCUUUGGAAUAACACACACUUUCUCUUUAGAAUUUCUUACUCUUUUAAUUAUAUAAUAUUAGGUACACUGAAGGAAUAGUAUAAAAAAUUCCUUCUAAUUGUAAAGUAUUAUAAAGUAUGAAUACUCAGAUUGCUUGAGCCCAGGAGUUCAAGACCAGCCUGGGCAACAUGGCGAAACCCUGACUCUACAAAAACAUACAAAAAUUACCCAGGUGUGGUGGCAUGCAUCUGUAGUCCCAGCUACUAGGGAGGCUGAUGUGGGAGGAUCGAUUGAGCCCAGGAGGUCGAGGCUGCAGUGAGCCAUGAUUGAGCCAGUGCGCUCCAGCCUGGGUGACACAGUGAGACACUGUCUCAAAAAAAAAAAGAAACAAAAAACAAAAAAACAUGUUCCCACCAUCCAAAUUGAGAACCAAACACUGCCAAUUCUGAGCUCUUCCCAAUCCUACCCUCUGCCCCCAAAAUAGGUGACCACGGAUUAGAUAGACGGACUGGCAGACGUGGUUUGGUUUUGCUUGUUUUUGUACUUUAUGAAAAUGGUUUCAUAUGUCUGUGGUCUUCAGUGCCUAUGUUUUCAUUCCACAUUAUGUUCCUAAGAUCAAGGAUUGAGUGUAGCGUGGUGUUCUCCGAUUUUACCGCUCUGUGCUAACUCUGUGUAGAUUUGCCAGUUUACCCCUGUGGAUGUUUGUGUUGUUUCUAGUUUGAUGCUAUCACCCUGCACAGUCUCCCAACACAUGUUCAAGUUCUUUAGAAGAGUGGUUCUCAAACUGGACAGCAGAAUCCCACGUGAGAGCAUGUUUAUUAUAAAAGGCAGGUCACCAUUCCCCAGAGAUUCUGAGUCAGUAGCUUCUAGAGACCCAGAGGUCUCCAUUUUAACAAACACUCAAGACGAUUCUAAUGCAAAUGCUCUAGACAUUACAGCAUAAUCAACCGUAUUCUAAACACACACCUAGUGUGCUGGGCACAGAGGUAUGCACACAGCCAGACUUCCAAGAUAAUGUUUCCAAAGUUGCUGUAUUACUUUAGGCCCCAACCAACAGGGUGCAAAGUUCCAAUAGUCUAUAUAUGCUCCACAGAUUUUCCCUCCAAUCUAAUGACUGUGAAAUGGCAUUUCAUUUUGGCCUUAAUUUUCAAGUUCUCAAUUUCUGUAUUUUGUUAUUGGCUACUCAUAUUUUCUCUUUUGUUACAUACCUAUUCAGGUCUGCUGUUCAAUUUCCAAUUCUCCUAUAGAUAUAUAAAAUCUUAUUUUGUUCACUAUCCUGGAUAGCAGUCCUUUGUGAAUUAUAUAUGUUGCAACUACCACUUGUGGUUUAUCAUUUCACCCUAACGGUGUCUUAUAAUGAACAGAAUCUUUUAAUUUUAAUGUAGCUGAAUUCAUCCAUCUUUUCUAGUAUGCUUAAUGCAUUUUUAAAGAACUUUAAUAAAUCUAAAGUUAUAAAAACAAUUUUAAUUUUGAUGUUUCUCCUUUAAAAUUUAACAGUUAAUGCUGGAAUUCAUUUUUGUUUGGUGUGAGGUAUGGAUCCAAAUAGAUUACUUCAUUUCAUGUGGAAAACAAACAGUACUAGAACCAUUAACUAAAUAGGUCACUGUAUUAGUCAGGGUUCUCCAGAGAAACAGAACCAAUAGGAUGUAUAUAGAUACACA